This 1489-nucleotide long non-coding RNA is filed under the name Brassica rapa (field mustard). RNAcentral describes it as "long non-coding RNA (BRAP_LNC008157)". Lineage: Eukaryota; Viridiplantae; Streptophyta; Magnoliopsida; Brassicales; Brassicaceae. The record is from RNAcentral.
AAGCUUGAGGGGGAGUGUUAACUUGAAGAGAAGAAGUGGAGAAGCAAAAGUGAUGAGUUGAGUUGGUGCUUGUGCAAAGACAUGGCAAGAUCUUCAGAGAUUGUAUGUUAAGGCUUUGGGAGAGUCUUAAGGCUUCAGAAGUGGUCUGAUGAGUGUGCAAAGAUAGGGUUAAGUCCAGGAGGGACUUAGACACCAUUUAGAGAAGAUUUGGGUCAGACAGUAACUCCAAAGUUACCACAGUAACUUUGGAGAGUUACCACAGUAAGAUUGGAGAAGUUUAGGCAAGUUGGUGUAAAAGUGAAUAGUGAAUCACUAGUCACUAUUCAGGUUAACUAGUCACUAUUCAGGUUAACUAUUCACCAAGGUUUGAAUCUAGUCAAAGGGAAUCAAGAAGAUGCUGUGUGGAGCUGAUUGGUUACUUUGGGGUAUGGACAGGCUGGCUGGAGCUGUAAAGAGGAAGGCAGCCACGACCAUGCACCUAGACUGAUCUGUGGACAGAUACAAAGGAGCCUAAGAAGAACCAAUCAAAGCUCAGCCUUGGUUUGAAUUAAAGUGAGCCAGCUUAGCUCAUCCAAUCAGCACACAUCACUCAGAUCACAACAAGACCAACUCAUCCUCACCAUCCAUUCCUCUUAAGUUAUUUCUAUCCACUAGAUAUAGGUUUAUGAGUUUGCAAGAGUGUAAAACCUAUAUAAAGACCUCAUGGGCGUUUGUAUGGGGGUUUUCCCCAUCUCCUUCAUAAAUAUAAAAGUGUGUUCUUGAUCAGAUUCCCUUAAUCUACCCCUUUCUUAGUCUCUAAUCUCUUAAUCUCUCUAAGUCUCUUUGUUUCUGAUUCAAGUUCAUACUAGUUUCAUCAGACCUCUUAUUCAACUAGUUCAAGACCUUAUUCUUUGCCUCUAAUGGCUUCUCAUACACAUACACAGCCAGAGCUCUCAAAUCUCAUAUGGUAUCAGAGCCAGGUUCAUCAGAACCUGAGCUGAGCUUCCGCAAGUCCACAGCUCUCAUCUCAGCUCAAACCAAACCCUUGAAGACAUUACCAGCCGAGUUCAGCUCUUGAAGAAGAAGAGACUUGAAGCCAUGGAGUGUUAUCCUGUCCCUCAAGCCAUUGUUGUCUGUACCUGAUGGAGAGAGUCUCAUUGGAAGCAAAGGAGGAUGGAGAGGCGUCAUGAACCUCAAGCCAAAACUCCUUGUCCAAGAGCUUGUUACAUCCUGCUACAAGAAAGAUGAAGUGAAGAGAAGCAGGCUUGAUAGUAUGGAGCAAGGAGGGGUCUUUGGGUGUGAGAAACAAGAAGGAGGCCAUGGACUAAAGGAGAAGGAGUUGGGUGACGACCUAGACUCUUGAAUCCAACCAUAUCAUGGCCAGAUUGCCUUUGGAGGCUUAAGGAACCAACCUGGUUCCUUGUGUAAGCGAUUCUUUAAAACCUUCUUGAUAAUGAGCUUGUGUUGUGUUAUUGCCUGGUUAGUGUGAUGUGUAUUGAUUGAAAAACCC